This 253-nucleotide ribosomal RNA is filed under the name uncultured bacterium. RNAcentral describes it as "partial 16S ribosomal RNA". It matches the Rfam family "Bacterial small subunit ribosomal RNA", at positions 524 to 776 of the family's 1533-position model. The record is from RNAcentral.
UACGAAGGGGGCUAGCGUUGCUCGGAAUUACUGGGCGUAAAGGGCGCGUAGGCGGCACUGUUAGUCAGGCGUGAAAUUCCUGGGCUCAACCUGGGGACUGCGCUUGAUACGGCAAAGCUUGAGGAUGGAAGAGGGUCGCGGAAUUCCCAGUGUAGAGGUGAAAUUCGUAGAUAUUGGGAAGAACACCGGUGGCGAAGGCGGCGACCUGGUCCAUUACUGACGCUGAGGCGCGACAGCGUGGGGAGCAAACAGG